RNAcentral lists this ribosomal RNA (497 nucleotides) under uncultured bacterium. Its description in RNAcentral is "partial 16S ribosomal RNA". It matches the Rfam family "Bacterial small subunit ribosomal RNA", at positions 28 to 507 of the family's 1533-position model. The record is from RNAcentral.
GAUGAACGCUGGCGGCGUGCCUAAUACAUGCAAGUCGAGCGACAAGACAGGGAGCUUGCUCCCCUACCGUUAGCGGCGGGCGGGCGGGUAACGCGUGGAUAACCUUCUUCUUAUACUGGGGUAACUUCGGGAGAACGGAGAUACUAAUAGAUAAUAUAUUCUACGGCAUGGUUCAAGAGUGCAUGAGGCUUUUGCCGUCUCAUAUAGAUGGUUCCGGACUGCCUUAGCUAGUUGGUAAGGUAACGGCAUACCAAGGCAACGAUGCGUAGCCGACCUGAGAGGAUGAUCAGCCACACUGGAACUGAGACACGGUCCAGACUCCUACGGGAGGCAGCAGUAGGGAAUCUUCGGCAAUGGGCGAAAGCCUGACGGAGCAACGCCGCGUGGGUGAUGAAGGCCUUCGGAUCGUAAAGCUCUGUUAUUAGGGAAGAAAAGAUGCAGAUGAAUCCAUGCACGUCUUGACGGUACCUAAACAGAAAGCCACGGCUAACUACGUG